GCAAGUAUAGUUUAAUAAUAAAACGUUAGAUUGUGAUUCUAAAAACAGAGGUUAAACUCCUCUUACCUGCC
Molecule: transfer RNA, 71 nt
Filed under: Heniochus diphreutes (false moorish idol)
Lineage: Eukaryota; Metazoa; Chordata; Actinopteri; Chaetodontiformes; Chaetodontidae
Description: tRNA-His
Rfam family: tRNA
About the family: Transfer RNA (tRNA) molecules are approximately 80 nucleotides in length. Their secondary structure includes four short double-helical elements and three loops (D, anti-codon, and T loops).
Source: RNAcentral